This 301-nucleotide ribosomal RNA is filed under the name uncultured bacterium. Its description in RNAcentral is "partial 16S ribosomal RNA". It matches the Rfam family "Bacterial small subunit ribosomal RNA", at positions 509 to 807 of the family's 1533-position model. The record is from RNAcentral.
CAGCCGCCACGGUAAUACGUAGGGUGCGAGCGUUAAUCGGAAUUACUGGGCGUAAAGCGUGCGCAGGCGGUUGUGUAAGACAGGUGUGAAAUCCCCGGGCUUAACCUGGGAACUGCGCUUGUGACUGCACAGCUAGAGUAUGGCAGAGGGGGGUGGAAUUCCACGUGUAGCAGUGAAAUGCGUAGAGAUGUGGAGGAAUACCGAUGGCGAAGGCAGCCCCCUGGGCCAAUACUGACGCUCAUGCACGAAAGCGUGGGGAGCAAACAGGAUUAGAUACCCCCGUAGUCCCUGUCUCUUAUAC